This is a long non-coding RNA of Leptopilina boulardi, 774 nucleotides long. RefSeq lists it as uncharacterized. The record is from RefSeq and is a predicted model, not a curated record. The transcript has 2 exons. NCBI's taxonomy places the organism in Eukaryota, Metazoa, Arthropoda, Insecta, Hymenoptera, Figitidae.
AAGACUCUAAAAAUAGAUUUCGGUUAUUUAUUUCCUGAUCUUCAUUUAAUUCGUUUUUUUAAACGGGACAGUUAAAUAAAUAUUCAGAAAAUCUGGCGAACUUUAUUCGUAAGCCAUUUUGUCAUUAAUAGAAUUAGGCAUACGAAUGAAAAUACUAUCAGCGAAAAUACCAUGUCCUCUUUUUUUCAUUUCUCUUCACUCUAAGGUUAUCUGGAAUAUUCUUAAUUUUUUUUUGCACGUACACAGAAGCUGCUCUGUCAAUACUGAAGUCGAGGAGUGAGACGUCAAAAAGUAUUGAUAUAAUUAUCGGCAGUUGGCUGUCGAAUUGUCUUCUCAGAAGUAAGAGGAAAGAGAAAGUCAAUAAUUUUACUAAGACUAUGUUAAUAAAUAAACUUUUCUGUGUCUAUGCUUUUUAUAAAUUUUAAUUUCACUGUUUUUUAGGAUUUCACCAGUGCAAAGUAUUCAACUAUGAACUAAAGCGAAGAGUUGCGGGAGAACGGAAUGAUUGUCAUAUUUUGAUGAAAAAGUUGGUGAAAAAUGCAAGAAACGGCAUCGAGUUUCCAGAAAAAGGGGACUAAGGUUUAUUUACAUUAAACGUCUUUCCGAACUACAGACUUGGUGGUUUAACUUUUUCUUCUGUUCUUAUUUUUACUUAUUUUCAUAUAUAAUAUUGUUUUAAUCACGACAAUUUUUGUAAUAUACGCUGUAUUUGAUGUGCUAACAAAAUGGGUUACUGUUUAAUAUCAUUUUUAAAUAAAGAAACAGAUAAAGCUA